AUGGACCAUGAAACUAAUGCUAAACACAGUGUCCUGGAGCGCAUGCUACUCGAUGCAAGUGCAGAGCCGAUAGGUCUGCCUCUUUCACUUCUGGAAGACAUCACAAAUGGUUUCUCUCAUGAUCGGCAAAUUGGCAGUGGUGGGUUUGCAGUGGUUUAUAAGGGAAUACUCAGGAAUGUGACGAUUGCCGUGAAAAAGUUGUCCAAAACAUUAGAUAUUCACGAGAAACAAUUCAACGAAGAGGUUAGCUGUCUGAUGAAGGCAAAGCACAAAAAUAUAGUUCGAUUUCUGGGAUACUGUUCUGACACACAAGGCAAAAUGGUAGACUUUGAGGGAAAGCUUGUCAUGGCAGAUGUUCGGCAGAGGUUGCUCUGCUUUGAGUAUCUACCUAGAGGGAGCCUUGAUAAGUAUAUCACUGGAUCAUCUUGUGUACUUAAAUGGAGAGAGUGCUAUCAGAUCAUCAAAGAAAUCUGUGAAGGGUUACAUUAUCUCCAUGUGGAGCGGCGUAUUGUCCAUUUGGAUCUUAAGCCUACAAAUAUAUUGUUGGAUUGUAAUAUGGUUCCGAAAAUUGCUGAUUUCGGUCUCUCAAGGCGAUUCUGUGAAAAGCAAAGCCAAAUUCUUACUGCAGAAGUGAAGGGAACUUUGGGAUACAUGGCACCAGAGUUUGUAAAUAGUGGACAAAUUACAUUCAAGUCGGACAUAUAUAGUCUUGGCAUUAUAAUCACAGAAAUACUGACGAGGCAGAAGGGAUAUCGUGAUGUUGAAGAUGUACUUGAUAUCUGGAAGAAUAGGUUGCAGCAGGAAUCACAGAGAGACAUACAUUUGGAACAAGUACGAGUAUGCGCUGAGAUAGCGAUAGAGUGUGCUGAUUAUAACCCGGCAAAGAGGCCAGUUACAAAACAUAUAAUUAAUAGGCUUGAUGAAACAGAAAGUACAAGCAGGUCCACUGAAACUAGUGGGAGUACUUCAUCAGUAGCUCAGGCAGAAAAGGAGUCCAGUGAGCAGCAUCAGUGGAUACCUAAGGUACCAGGAGAGACAAGUGAUGAGACUGUCGAAUGGAGGUGGGCACAAUUUUGA
RNAcentral lists this ribosomal RNA (1077 nucleotides) under Triticum aestivum (bread wheat). RNAcentral describes it as "partial small subunit ribosomal RNA". Lineage: Eukaryota; Viridiplantae; Streptophyta; Magnoliopsida; Poales; Poaceae. The record is from RNAcentral.